Molecule: ribosomal RNA, 305 nt
Filed under: uncultured bacterium
Lineage: Bacteria
Description: bacterial SSU rRNA
Rfam family: Bacterial small subunit ribosomal RNA
Source: RNAcentral
CCUCGGAGGCAGCAGUGAGGAAUAUUGGUCAAUGGGCGGAAGCCUGAACCAGCCAAGUCGCGUGAGGGAAUAAGGCCCUACGGGUCGUAAACCUCUUUUGCCGGGGAGCAAGGGCGGGGACGUGUCCCGGCCCGGAGAGUACCCGGAGAAAAAGCAUCGGCUAACUCCGUGCCAGCAGCCGCGGGCAUACGGAGGAUGCGAGCGUUAUCCGGAUUUAUUGGGUUUAAAGGGUGCGUAGGCGGGCUUUUAAGUCAGCGGGAAGAAUUCGGGGCUCAACCCCGCCCGGCCGUUGAAUCUGAGGGCCU